UUACUCCUAAAGGUAUGUAAAAGCUUAUUAUAGAUCCGAUGAGCUUGUACAAUGGAUCAGGUAUCUGACAUGAGCCAUUCACCAAUACUGAGCUAAGAUUCUGAAACAUAAUAGUUCAAUGUAAUUCAUUUUCAACUAAUUAUGGUAAUUUUCAUUAAAAACAAUCAUUUUAGCAGUGAUGACUAUUAGGUACACAGAUCGCCGUAGAAGAAAUCAAAAGAAAUAAUUAAUUGCAAAAAUGUGACAGAAGAAAGUUAUAACAAUGACACUGAUAAGAACUUUUACAAAAUUGUUUGAAUAAUUAUAAUAAACUAAUAUGUAUUAAAAAUACGAUAAAAAGUGUGUUUACUUACUUUUGAG
Long non-coding RNA from Daktulosphaira vitifoliae (grape phylloxera), 360 nucleotides. RefSeq lists it as uncharacterized. The transcript has 3 exons. The record is from RefSeq and is a predicted model, not a curated record. Lineage: Eukaryota; Metazoa; Arthropoda; Insecta; Hemiptera; Phylloxeridae.